GAACCCUUGGCACAGUGGUAGCGCGUGAGAUUCCAGCUGGGAAAUCCUCAAGGUCGUCCGUUCAAUCCGGGCAGGGUUCA
Molecule: non-coding RNA, 80 nt
Organism: Polyporus arcularius HHB13444
Lineage: Eukaryota; Fungi; Basidiomycota; Agaricomycetes; Polyporales; Polyporaceae
Source: the annotation of a GenBank genome assembly